GCCUGAACAGGGUGCUCUGUGGUCCUAUCCAUGAGUACUCAGGCCUGGCCCAGCCUAGCCUGUUGUCUUUCUUUCAGGCUCGGAGGCAGCAGCAGCAGCACCGCCUGGAGAACCUCCAUGGAGCCAUGUACACGUGAGGCAGCAGCUAGGGCUGAGAGCUCAGCCUCUGUGAUAUCUUCCCUUUGCACUUUGAAUCUUCAUUAAAGGUUUCUUUAACCACCCUGCAGCUGCACUGCUCACCAGCUGAAGGGGCUUCGUCCGAAUCCUCCAACCUGCUGCUAGCCAGAAAGAUGUCAAAGGUGUCAAAAGGCAGAAGGUGCCGGGCUGCAUUUCCCUCUCUGCCAGUCUCUAGACUCUGGGUGGUGGAGCCCUGGGAGCAACAAGGGCUUGGGUCUGAGUGUUCUUUUAGAAGUCAAACUGUGUCAGAUCCUGGCACUUUGUAGCUAUUUAAAACUGAUAAAUUAACUUGCACCCG
This 475-nucleotide long non-coding RNA is filed under the name Androctonus crassicauda. The record is from RNAcentral. Lineage: Eukaryota; Metazoa; Arthropoda; Arachnida; Scorpiones; Buthidae.